This 1548-nucleotide ribosomal RNA is filed under the name Escherichia coli. RNAcentral's name for it is "partial 23S ribosomal RNA". It matches the Rfam family "Bacterial large subunit ribosomal RNA", at positions 1411 to 2925 of the family's 2925-position model. Lineage: Bacteria; Pseudomonadati; Pseudomonadota; Gammaproteobacteria; Enterobacterales; Enterobacteriaceae. The record is from RNAcentral.
GUAGUCGAUGGGAAACAGGUUAAUAUUCCUGUACUUGGUGUUACUGCGAAGGGGGGACGGAGAAGGCUAUGUUGGCCGGGCGACGGUUGUCCCGGUUUAAGCGUGUAGGCUGGUUUUCCAGGCAAAUCCGGAAAACCAAGGCUGAGGCGUGAUGACGAGGCACUACGGUGCUGAAGUGACAAAUGCCCUGCUUCCAGGAAAAGCCUCUAAGCAUCAGGUAACAUCAAAUCGUACCCCAAACCGACACAGGUGGUCAGGUAGAGAAUACCAAGGCGCUUGAGAGAACUCGGGUGAAGGAACUAGGCAAAAUGGUGCCGUAACUUCGGGAGAAGGCACGCUGAUAUGUAGGUGAAGCGACUUGCUCGUGGAGCUGAAAUCAGUCGAAGAUACCAGCUGGCUGCAACUGUUUAUUAAAAACACAGCACUGUGCAAACACGAAAGUGGACGUAUACGGUGUGACGCCUGCCCGGUGCCGGAAGGUUAAUUGAUGGGGUUAGCGGUAACGCGAAGCUCUUGAUCGAAGCCCCGGUAAACGGCGGCCGUAACUAUAACGGUCCUAAGGUAGCGAAAUUCCUUGUCGGGUAAGUUCCGACCUGCACGAAUGGCGUAAUGAUGGCCAGGCUGUCUCCACCCGAGACUCAGUGAAAUUGAACUCGCUGUGAAGAUGCAGUGUACCCGCGGCAAGACGGAAAGACCCCGUGAACCUUUACUAUAGCUUGACACUGAACAUUGAGCCUUGAUGUGUAGGAUAGGUGGGAGGCUUUGAAGUGUGGACGCCAGUCUGCAUGGAGCCGACCUUGAAAUACCACCCUUUAAUGUUUGAUGUUCUAACGUUGGCCCCUGAUCGGGGUUGCGGACAGUGUCUGGUGGGUAGUUUGACUGGGGCGGUCUCCUCCUAAAGAGUAACGGAGGAGCACGAAGGUUGGCUAAUCCUGGUCGGACAUCAGGAGGUUAGUGCAAUGGCAUAAGCCAGCUUGACUGCGAGCGUGACGGCGCGAGCAGGUGCGAAAGCAGGUCAUAGUGAUCCGGUGGUUCUGAAUGGAAGGGCCAUCGCUCAACGGAUAAAAGGUACUCCGGGGAUAACAGGCUGAUACCGCCCAAGAGUUCAUAUCGACGGCGGUGUUUGGCACCUCGAUGUCGGCUCAUCACAUCCUGGGGCUGAAGUAGGUCCCAAGGGUAUGGCUGUUCGCCAUUUAAAGUGGUACGCGAGCUGGGUUUAGAACGUCGUGAGACAGUUCGGUCCCUAUCUGCCGUGGGCGCUGGAGAACUGAGGGGGGCUGCUCCUAGUACGAGAGGACCGGAGUGGACGCAUCACUGGUGUUCGGGUUGUCAUGCCAAUGGCACUGCCCGGUAGCUAAAUGCGGAAGAGAUAAGUGCUGAAAGCAUCUAAGCACGAAACUUGCCCCGAGAUGAGUUCUCCCUGAGACUUAGAGUCUCCUGAAGGAACGUUGAAGACGACGACGUUGAUAGGCCGGGUGUGUAAGCGCAGCGAUGCGUUGAGCUAACCGGUACUAAUGAACCGUGAGGCUUAACCUUACAACGCCGAAG